CGCGUAGACGGUUUUGUAAGUCAGAUGUGAAAUCCCUGGGCUCAACCUGGGAACUGCAUUUGAAACUGCAUGGCUAGAGUAUGGUAGAGGGAAGUGGAAUUUCCGGUGUAGCGGUGAAAUGCGUAGAUAUCGGAAGGAACACCAGUGGCGAAAGCGACUUCCUGGACCAAUACUGACGUUCAUGUGCGAAAGCGUGGGGGAGCAAACAGGAUUAGAUACCCUGGUAGUCCACGCCAUAAACGAUGACAACUAGAUGUUGGGAGGGUCUGCCUCUCGGUGUCGCAGCUAACGCGUUAAGUUGUCCGCCUGGGGAGUACGGCCGCAAGGUUGAA
RNAcentral lists this ribosomal RNA (332 nucleotides) under uncultured bacterium. RNAcentral describes it as "bacterial SSU rRNA". It matches the Rfam family "Bacterial small subunit ribosomal RNA", at positions 568 to 898 of the family's 1533-position model. The record is from RNAcentral.